Molecule: ribosomal RNA, 772 nt
Filed under: Escherichia coli
Lineage: Bacteria; Pseudomonadati; Pseudomonadota; Gammaproteobacteria; Enterobacterales; Enterobacteriaceae
Description: partial 23S ribosomal RNA
Rfam family: Bacterial large subunit ribosomal RNA
Source: RNAcentral
GUAAUAGCUCACUGGUCGAGUCGGCCUGCGCGGAAGAUGUAACGGGGCUAAACCAUGCACCGAAGCUGCGGCAGCGACGCUGAUGCGUUGUUGGGUAGGGGAGCGUUCUGUAAGCCUGUGAAGGUGUACUGUGAGGUAUGCUGGAGGUAUCAGAAGUGCGAAUGCUGACAUAAGUAACGAUAAAGCGGGUGAAAAGCCCGCUCGCCGGAAGACCAAGGGUUCCUGUCCAACGUUAAUCGGGGCAGGGUGAGUCGACCCCUAAGGCGAGGCCGAAAGGCGUAGUCGAUGGGAAACAGGUUAAUAUUCCUGUACUUGGUGUUACUGCGAAGGGGGGACGGAGAAGGCUAUGUUGGCCGGGCGACGGUUGUCCCGGUUUAAGCGUGUAGGCUGGUUUUCCAGGCAAAUCCGGAAAAUCAAGGCUGAGGCGUGAUGACGAGGCACUACGGUGCUGAAGCAACAAAUGCCCUGCUUCCAGGAAAAGCCUCUAAGCAUCAGGUAACAUCAAAUCGUACCCCAAACCGACACAGGUGGUCAGGUAGAGAAUACCAAGGCGCUUGAGAGAACUCGGGUGAAGGAACUAGGCAAAAUGGUGCCGUAACUUCGGGAGAAGGCACGCUGAUAUGUAGGUGAAGUUGCUCGCGGAUGGAGCUGAAAUCAGUCGAAGAUACCAGCUGGCUGCAACUGUUUAUUAAAAACACAGCACUGUGCAAACACGAAAGUGGACGUAUACGGUGUGACGCCUGCCCGGUGCCGGAAGGUUAAUUGAUGGGGU